RNAcentral lists this unclassified non-coding RNA (410 nucleotides) under uncultured Glomeromycotina. Its description in RNAcentral is "sequence contains ITS2". The record is from RNAcentral. Lineage: Eukaryota; Fungi; Glomeromycota.
AGAGUAAAAUAGUACGUGAAAUUGUUGAAAGGGAAACGAUUGAAGUCAGUCGUACUAACGGGAAAUCAACCUUUUGGAGUCGUGAAUUUUGGAUUCUUCUGAGAGGAUCGGAUUCAAAUAUUUGCACUUUUUAGGCGUAAUUUCUCGUUCAGUAGGUUAACAUCGAUUUUGAACAUUAUAAAAUGAUCGGAGGAAUGUAGCUUCGGUCUCGUAUUGAAGUGUUAUAGCCUUUGGUAGAUGUAAUGAUCGAGAUCGAGGAUUGCAACGAAUACCCUUUUGGGCUAUCCGUCUGAUCUCUGAUACGUUGCCUCGGUAUCGAAAGCGUGCUUACGGUAUUGAGGUAUUACGGUCAAAAGGUUAGAACGUGAUUACAUUCGUUAAGGAUGUUGACGUAAUGGCUUCAAACGACC